CGAUGGCCAAGCACUUUCUUUGACUCUUCAUCUUUAAAUGAAGCAAUCGUAAUUAUUUGGAAAUCUGCCGGCUCCCUUUAAAAGGUAUGCCACAAAUCUGUAUUUUGAGUACAGCGCAGCGCUGGUGUCAUCGCAAAGCUUUUUUGAGAAGAGUUCAGUGAAAGAAACAUGGACGGAUUUCUUGGAACGUGUUUUCUCAUGGCGUAUGCUACGGCAGUCGUGGCCCUGACUAUUGCUCCAAACGUAGCCGAAGCGUUUCCAUCUUUUAUUCUUGAUGCUAUUCUCAAAGCGGGAAGGACCGAAGAAAAGGAGAAUGAGUGAGAAAUCAGCCAUGUGGCUGUGUACGUAAUGUCUUCGCUUAGGCCUAAUAAAACGAAAGAAGAAGAAUUAACGACAGCGUGGAACUAAUAAAUAAAAAAUCUAAACGUC
Molecule: long non-coding RNA, 429 nt
Organism: Rhipicephalus microplus (southern cattle tick)
Lineage: Eukaryota; Metazoa; Arthropoda; Arachnida; Ixodida; Ixodidae
Source: RefSeq, a predicted model, not a curated record